Molecule: ribosomal RNA, 520 nt
Filed under: uncultured Glomus
Lineage: Eukaryota; Fungi; Glomeromycota; Glomeromycetes; Glomerales; Glomeraceae
Description: SSU rRNA
Rfam family: Eukaryotic small subunit ribosomal RNA
Source: RNAcentral
AGCAGCCGCGGUAAUUCCAGCUCCAAUAGCGUAUAUUAAAGUUGCUGCAGUUAAAAAGCUCGUAGUUGAAUUUCGGGACCAUCAUGUCGGUCGUGCCUCGGUACGUACUGGCAUUGUUGGUUUCUCCCUUCUGACGAACCAUGAUGUCAUUUAUUUGGUGUUGUGGGGAAUCAGGACUGUUACUUUGAAAAAAUUGAGUGUUUAAAGCAGGCUCACGCUUGAAUACAUUAGCAUGGAAUAAUGAAAUAGGACGUUUGAUUCUAUUUUGUUGGUUUUUAGGAUCGACGUAAUGAUUAAUAGGGGUAGUUGGGGGCAUUAGUAUUCAAUUGUCAGAGGUGAAAUUCUUGGAUUUAUUGAAGACUAACUACUGCGAAAGCAUUUGCCAAGGAUGUUUUCAUUAAUCAAGAACGAAGUUAGGGAUCGAAGACGAUCAGAUACCGUCGUAGUCUUAACCAUAAACUAUGCCGACUAGGGAUCGGAUGAUGUUAAUUUUUAANGACUUCAUUCGGCGCCUUACGGG